RNAcentral lists this ribosomal RNA (253 nucleotides) under uncultured bacterium. RNAcentral's name for it is "partial 16S ribosomal RNA". It matches the Rfam family "Bacterial small subunit ribosomal RNA", at positions 524 to 776 of the family's 1533-position model. The record is from RNAcentral.
UACGAAGGGUGCAAACGUUGCUCGGAAUUAUUGGGCGUAAAGCGCACGUAGGCGGCUUUGCAAGUCGGAUGUGAAAUCCCUCGGCUUAACCAAGGAAGUGCAUCCGAAACUGCAGAGCUUGAGUACUUAAGAGGAUCGCGGAAUUCCCGGUGUAGAGGUGAAAUUCGUAGAUAUCGGGAGGAACACCAGUGGCGAGGGCGGCGAUCUGGGAAGAUACUGACGCUGAGGUGCGAAAGCGUGGGGAGCAAACAGG